RNAcentral lists this unclassified non-coding RNA (6359 nucleotides) under Leishmania donovani. RNAcentral describes it as "gene:LdHU3.22.1130(CDS-product:Protein_of_unknown _function_(DUF3184)_putative)". Lineage: Eukaryota; Euglenozoa; Kinetoplastea; Trypanosomatida; Trypanosomatidae. The record is from RNAcentral.
UGCGGGAGUACGCCAGAAAGCAUUCGACCGGUCGGCAACACUCAGAGAUAUCUGCACACACGCACACACACGUACACACAUAUCCUCUUACAUCCCCACCUGAUUGCGAAAUCGACGGAAAAGAGAGGGAGGGGACUCCAAGUCACAGCAGCCUUGGACCCUGAUACUGCGCAAAGGGAGGAAAGCGCCGCCGUCCCCUACGUGCUCGGCAUCGGCACUGUGCGAAUGAGCAUGCCGCAACCUCCAGCAUACGUUGCAGCCUUGGUGAUGAACGAACUGGUCGAGUACGUCAUGCAAGUGCUACCAAGAUGCUACCGUUUCGCCGCCGCCCGUGUCAACGAGGUUCGCGGCACAGCGCAAGAGAUAUGGCAAGAGCCCCGCAGCAUCCGCAAGACUGUGUGGUGCCUCACGACGCUCAUGCGCCGGUGGGAGGUAUUCACGGUGCCGGGCAUCACCUAUGUACUGCUGUACAUGUGCGCCGUCACGAGUCUCAUUCACCUGUACAUCUUUCACCGAAAUCCCCAUAAUCUACAGCUGCGGACCUACCAGGAGACACAUUUCGACCUCACGUCGAUGGGGUCCUCGCUUGUCUCCCCCGUGCACGACCCGCGCUCCUUGAGUCCGUACGGGCCGCGGUCGGACCGCACGCUGGCGCACUUCUGCGGCCGGCCCACGGCCAGCAGCUACGACGGCUACACCGGCGCGCCGCACGCGGCGUACAUGCACCAUGACGUGGAGCGCGACCGCUACGUGGUGCGCACCUUCGGCCGCGGCGGCAUGCGCGUGGACGAGCGGCGGCGCAGCGGCGUGGGCCGCAGCACCUACGAGGCCUUCUGCGCCGCCCCGCGGAGCGUGCAGCGCGGCACGCCGCUGGCGCCGUCGCCGUGGCUCGACGGCGAGGCCAACUGGCAGCUCGGCGACGCCGCGCCGCGGCACGCCGUCAACGGCGCGUUCAACUUCACUGUGCGUCCUCUCGCCGUGCCGCACGCAGCCGCAGCCGCAGCAGCCACCGGUACCACCUCCAGCCGAAGUGGCAACGCCGACGCGGACUUCACCAAGGCGGAUCAGGGGCUGCGCACGCACUACCGCCGCUACACGCGCGACGAGCUGCUGCAGCGUCACGCACACCUCGACUUCAUCUACUCCUACGUCAAUGGCAGCGACAUCACGCGCAGCUACACGAAGCCGUUUGCGAAGACGUGGGAGUGCGGGAACAUGAUCGCGUCGGUGCAGUUGCUGUGGUUCGAGAUGCAGCGCGCGGCUGACACGGACACCGAGGCGCCGCACAUCGCCGAGGACGCCUUCAGCCGCUACAUCGCCGAGCUGCUGUUCGUGUCGGCGUCGAGCCCGUGCGCCAUGUCGGAGCUGCUAGCGGACGUGGGCGCCGGCAAGGGCGCGAUGAAGCGCGUGGAGGCGUCGCUGUGGUGGGCCGCCACGCACCUGAACGGACCCCGCAGCGUCGAGGACGCACCGCUGCCGCCGCCGGAGAUGACGCUGACGAACAUGGAGCUGCUGCGCGCGCUGGGUGCGGACCUGGAGAGCGUGAAGCCGGACGACAUUGACGCAGACUGCGACGAGCUACGCCACAGCAUGCGCGGGCUGCUGGAACACACGCGCAGCUGGCACCGUGGCCGCAUGGCCGUCGUGGCGCCGUACGGCAACGUGCCGCUGUGGCUGAACCACAGCAAGAACUUCUUCAUGCGCUCCCUCUACGCCGCUGCCACGGCGACCGAAGCGCGCGCUGAGGCGUCGGGUGACGCCGCUGACGGCGACGAUUCGAGGGUGCUCGGCACGGCCGAGGCGCGUUUCGUGAAGGAGGCGCACACCGGCACGCUGCACUACACGCGCAUCCACAUUGUGGACCAGCGCGCGCUGAUGCCGCCCGCGCCGCUGACGACAACAAACAGCUUUUCCAUCGAGCCCUUCGUGUACCGGCUGCGCAACGCGUCCUCCGUCUUCAUCUACAUGAACGACGACUACCUCAUCAUGAAGGACGUCGACAUCACCGACUUCGUAAACGUCUACGGCGGGCCAGUGCUACGAGUUUCACGGCCCGACGACCUACCGAAGGAUGUACUGCAUGCAACUGGUUUUCCGCGCGCAGUCCUGCAAAAUUCGUACAGCCUUCAGAGACAUCUGGACAAGACACCAGCGGACCUGGAGGAGCUUGUGCAGCCGGCUGCUGCUGCUGCUGCCCUGACGUCGGUGGAGGGCGAGGCAGCCGUGGUGCGGCGCGGCGUCGUGCGUGCGUCGUGGGCUGCCUUCGCCGCUGCCGUGGACGCGCGCAGCAGCGUGGCGACGCCGGAAGGUGGUGCGAGGGCCACCAGCACGGCGUGCGCGAGCAACAGCAGCGCUGCUGUGUGUGCGUGGGCGGAGUGCGCGUGGGGCACCGCUGAAGGAGCGCUGGCGCGCGAUACGUGUGCGAUGCCGCGCGUGUCGACGCAGGGCGAGCCGGCGUGGGCCGCGGAUGCAGCGGGCACCUUUGCGCUGGCGCCUCCGCCGUCUACGACGCCGGGCAGCAGCGAGUGGACGUGGGCAGGCCAGGCGCAGAUGCCGGCGCUCGUGCACUGGGGUCGCCGCGUGCUGGACCGCGUGACGGCAGACCUCAUCGCCCCGCGCUACUACCUCGAAACAGCGAAACCUGUGGAAGAAGAACCGAAGCCCGUGCCGCCAGCGGAGGCAGGGGCGAAUGUCGCGCGUGACGUUGCAGCCUUUGCUCAGCUGAUGCGCAGGGUGGAGCUGGAGCGCAAGCUGGCUGCCGGCUCAUCAGGUGCUCGCGUUAGGCUGAUGCGGCACCUCGAAUCCUGGGCGGCGCGCUUCGCUGGACACCCGUUCCCGACGCACCGCGUGUUCAAGACGCAGCCGCGCCUGCGCAAGUACCGCAUGCGGCUCGACAGCCACGCGCCCUACCCACAGUGCCGCAACAUGUGGGGCUACAUCCACAAGCGCUACGCACCGGACCUCAACCUGAACAUGUUCAUGGAGCGCAAACGCACCACGAUGGACCUGCUGCCGCCAUCGACGCACACGGCGCACAUGCUGCGGCAUCCGUGGGCUGCGUCGAGUCAGUACCUGCCGUACCUGAUGGCGAAGCAGGCGUGGCGCAUGCAGCGCGGUGCCGGACUGUCGCCGCUGGACAACGAGACGCCGGUGUUCCCGGUGGUGGACGUGGCGCUGGACAACGAGGACGGCUGCGCACCGGCCACUUUCCGCGGCGAAGAGCUCAAGGAAGCCGCUUAUAAUGAGUUCGAUGAUGACGUGCAGCACAAUGCUCGACGAAUGGCUCGCAUCCGCAGCUAUCGAAAUACAACAUCGUUCACGAACAUCAACUCUAAGUUUAACCUCAAUUUCAUCGGCGAAACGCUCCGCAACUUCCUGGAGGAGCUCUUUCCGACCCCCAUGCUGCUGGAACAACACUGGCGCAGCGCACCGAAGGCGGAGGGCGGCACGGACGAGCUGCGGGUAUCGCGGAGGAUUGAUGGGGAGAGCGGUGCGCGUGACCUGCAGUUUGCGCAUGUGGACGUCAACUUCAAGCGCCUGAUGCACCUGCCGCUGAUCCUUGUGAGCAACGACGAGGAGGGCUUCUGCCCGCUGCUGCGCAGCUUGCGGCACGCGUUGCCGAACUUCCGCGGGCGGCGCGUGGUGCAGGUGCUGGUGCCGCCGGCGGACGGCGUGUCGCUGCGCGCGGCGCGUGCGGACCGGCGACACGCCUACCGCGACUUCCUGCCGGUGGCGCGCUGCAGCCUGCCGGCUGACCGGCUUCGCCGCGUGACGCUGCCGGCGGACAGCGACGUGGCGGACGUGGUGGUGGCGGGGCUGCGGCUGGCGCGCGAGGACGUGGAGGUGGAGCGGUGGGAGGCGCCGGCGCUGGUGGAGCUGCGCGGGCGGCGCGUGGCGCUGCGCGCGGUGCAGGCGCUGGUGAUCGACGCGCGCACGCUGCACACCGGUGCACGCGGCUUCACGGAGCUGCCGCUCGCGCUGGCCGUGCCGGCCGAGCUGCUGGCGCACGAAGACUUCGCGGAGCACCUGCUGGACACCGCCGCGCAGUCGCUGGUGCGGCCGCCCACGGCAGCCGAGGCGGCCACGGUCGCCGCGGUGGUGCCGAUGGAGGAGGAUGGCAGGCGUAAGGAGGCCGCCUCUGCCGAAGACUUCGCUGCGAGCGUGCUGGUGCUAUCGGAGGCAGAUGCGGAGGUGCGUCACACGCACUGGGCCCACGGCGCCUCCGAGCACGACCUGCUGAGCGGGAUGCCGCUGCCGUACGACAAGAUGGAGGACAUGGAGGAGAUGGUGCAGUGGGGCUUCUGAGUGCUGCUGCUGCUGCUGCCAUGCGGGUGAUGUAGCCUCAACACGCCUCCUGUGCAAGCAUGCAUUUUCGCUGGUGAACUGUAAUCUAGGCCUUCGCUUUUUCUUUUUUUUUGUGUGUGUUGCUGCUCUGCUUGAGUGCGCGGUGCCGCAGGGAGCUGAACCCAUUGGGGAGCGCAGGUGAGACGAGAACGUGAUACGUGCUGUGGGCCACGGCGCGCUUACCGUGUCUGUGCUGCUGCUCUCCUCGUCCUCCAGUGCACCGCUGAGGCGCUCUGGUGGCCCUUUCUUCUUGUAGAGACGUGGGUCUGCCAGCGGGCCAUCGGAGGGAAAGGGGAGCGGUUCUGGCCCGCCACGGCGGCACGAGCAUUCUCGUUCAGAGGCCGACAGGCUGGGGUGAUGCACACUUAUUCCGUGAUGCGGUCGGUCGGGGACGGUGAGGCGCGCAGGCUGUGUCGUUAUACACACUCUUAAUCUCACCUGCAUAGCCUUCGCUCUUUCUUCAUGUGCCUGCGUGGGUGUGUGUUUAUAUAGAAAGAUGCGCAGCUCUUCGCUGAGGCGAUGGGCGUACGCCGCCAAGGGGUGCAGGAAUAGCCGAGGUGUGUCUGAGGGGGAAGGUGGGCUAAACGGAGUGUUGGUCUUCGGAGUGACCCACGGAGAGUCCAGCGGAUAAGCGGAUCUCUGAAGUCAGGCUGCUUGGUGACUGCCCUCUAGAGACUCCUCGAUCUCCGCUUCUCUGCGCUCUCUCGCUGGGAUGCGCUGGUGUGUGUGCUGAUGCCUCGUGUGCUCCUCGCGCUCUUUGCUAUCCUCCCUUCUCUUGCGCUGGCAGAGCCACAGACCCCUUCCCCUACUAACAUGGAGGUGAGGCACAUCGACGUGGCGUACCCUGAAGACGUGGUGGGGGUGGAGGGGCCACUCCAAAAGACUCGUGUGGAGGUGGCCUGCUCGAGGAGCUUUUCCCUGAGGGGCGGCACCAUCGCCAACAAGGCGCGGGCGCACGGAACCGCCAGCAGAACGGCACGCUACCGGUGGGGGUACUGUACCUCUCGCGCCGCAGUUUGGAGGGGGCGGUGAUCUACAUGCAGGCAAGACCUCCCACCUGGAAUUCGACACGCUCUCUCGUCGCUGCCUCCCGCAGCACGCGAUGCUUCGCUGCGAUGCAAUAUGCCGUGUUCGGCGGCGCUAACGGGCUCGUGCUCUCCGUCAGUAGGCCAGCAGGUCGUGGGCGCGCUGUACCUUCCACAUGCUCUGCGGCCGCAUCGGAUCGCGGGAAUCUUGGAGAAGGCGUCGGACAGCAUGCCCGUUGUCUUGACCGCGUGCGAUUCUGCACCCUCAGCCAGCGUACCGUAGGCGCCACGUCGCAAGCUCCGCGCGGUGGGGUCGGGCUUAUCAGUCUCUCACAGCGCAUGCGCACGACAGCAGUGACCCAGCGAGGAUUCUGGCCUGCACAUGACCGUCCACUGCACAUCACCUGUCUGUACGGAUAGCAGAUGGAUCCACACUGGCCGCCCGCCUCCAGCCUUGGCCUACACGAGGCAUUCGCUUCACGGCAGAAUACCCUCCCCCUCCCCCAGUUGGGGCAAAAGUCACCCUGGUGACGGACCAUCGCCACCCCUCCCCAUCCUGCAUGCGCAGAAAGCAGCUGAAUGGGUUUUAGCGGCAGUGGAUGUGGGCGCGGCGCUGAGCACGUUGUGUUCCUCUACACAGCCGGCUCACUGAACCCUGCCGGCACGCAACUCGCGUACCUUUGAGGAGUGCAACUCCGCGCCGGGCUCGUCUCUCGCCCGCUCGCAUGUGAAGGACGUGGCGUUGCCACUUGCGAGCGGCACCCUUACCCCGCUGUGCGAGGGCCGGAGGGAGGUCAAAGAACGGCUGUCGGAGGAGCAAAAUCUGUUGCAGGAUUACGAUGAGGUGAUCCGUGUUUCGUCACAGCGAGUCCUCUCACGAAGGGCAGCGGUGGCUUCAGGAAGCACCGGCGAAGUAUGCGCCGGCACCGCCGAAGCAAAUCCCGGGCGAUAGCCCCUCCCCUGCUUGCCCCGCUUAGCAUAACAAAGAAU